AAGUAGCCCAAACCCCGGCUCGAGAUCCGUCUGUUCAGCUGUUGUGGCGCCGCCGUUUUGGAUCUAAGCGCCUACCCGUGACACCCAGAGAACCCAGGCCUGAAAAGGUAUAGUUUGGCAGUGGGGCCUCCAAAAAAAGACCCAAAAGUUAAAGGUGUCCAAUCAGCAGCUGUACAAGCUUUUCUUAAAAGGAAAGAAGAGGAGCUGAGACGAAAAGCCUUAGAGGAGAAAAGGAGAAAAGAGGAACUAGUGAAAAAGCGAAUUGAGCUCAAACAUGACAAGAAAGCAAGAGCUAUGGCCAAGAGGACAAAGGAUAAUUUCCAUGGUUACAAUGGGAUUCCUACUGAGGAAAAGUCAAAGAAGAGGCAGGCAACAGAAAGCCAUACCAGCCAAGGAACCGACCGAGAGUAUGAAAUGGAAGAAGAGAAUGAAUUCCUGGAGUACAAUCACGCAGAGUCAGAGCAGGAGUAUGAGGAAGAGCAAGAACCUCCCAAAGUUGAAAGCAAACCAAAGGUCCCCCUUAAAAGUGCCCCACCACCCAUG
RNAcentral lists this small RNA (543 nucleotides) under Pan troglodytes (chimpanzee). RNAcentral's name for it is "processed transcript". Lineage: Eukaryota; Metazoa; Chordata; Mammalia; Primates; Hominidae. The record is from RNAcentral.